AUCCAGAACAUACUUAAUGAUUGUUAUGCUGCUUAGCCUAUUAAAUAAUCAUGCAACCAUCCAGCAAGAAGUAUUAGCUUGCAACUAUAAUAUUUCAAAAAUCCCAACUCAAACCCAAAAAGUCAAUCAUUGUCUAAACAAAUUUUAGAAUAGCAUUCCAAAAAAUCUCAUCUUUCUUGUAGUAACUAACCAUUAAUGCUAUAAAAAAAAUAAGCAGGGAACAUCCACCAAAACAACA
This 238-nucleotide unclassified non-coding RNA is filed under the name Hevea brasiliensis (rubber tree). The record is from RNAcentral. Lineage: Eukaryota; Viridiplantae; Streptophyta; Magnoliopsida; Malpighiales; Euphorbiaceae.